UCCCUGGAGGACUAGUGGUUAGGCCUUGGCGCACUCACUGCCACAGCUUGCCUUCGAUUCCCAGCCAGGGAA
This is a non-coding RNA of Pangasius djambal, 72 nucleotides long. The record is from the annotation of a GenBank genome assembly. Lineage: Eukaryota; Metazoa; Chordata; Actinopteri; Siluriformes; Pangasiidae.